GAGUUUGAUCGUGGCUCAGAUUGAACGCUGGCGGCAGGCCUAACACAUGCAAGUCGAGCGGUAGAGAGAAGCUUGCUUCUCUUGAGAGCGGCGGACGGGUGAGUAAUGCCUAGGAAUCUGCCUGGUAGUGGGGGAUAACGCUCGGAAACGGACGCUAAUACCGCAUACGUCCUACGGGAGAAAGCAGGGGACCUUCGGGCCUUGCGCUAUCAGAUGAGCCUAGGUCGGAUUAGCUAGUUGGUGAGGUAAUGGCUCACCAAGGCGACGAUCCGUAACUGGUCUGAGAGGAUGAUCAGUCACACUGGAACUGAGACACGGUCCAGACUCCUACGGGAGGCAGCAGUGGGGAAUAUUGGACAAUGGGCGAAAGCCUGAUCCAGCCAUGCCGCGUGUGUGAAGAAGGUCUUCGGAUUGUAAAGCACUUUAAGUUGGGAGGAAGGGCAGUAAAUUAAUACUUUGCUGUUUUGACGUUACCGACAGAAUAAGCACCGGCUAACUCUGUGCCAGCCG
This 510-nucleotide ribosomal RNA is filed under the name uncultured bacterium. RNAcentral's name for it is "bacterial SSU rRNA". It matches the Rfam family "Bacterial small subunit ribosomal RNA", at positions 9 to 514 of the family's 1533-position model. The record is from RNAcentral.